Molecule: ribosomal RNA, 803 nt
Filed under: Erwinia sp.
Lineage: Bacteria; Pseudomonadati; Pseudomonadota; Gammaproteobacteria; Enterobacterales; Erwiniaceae
Description: bacterial SSU rRNA
Rfam family: Bacterial small subunit ribosomal RNA
Source: RNAcentral
GAAUUCCAUGUGUAGCGGUGAAAUGCGUAGAGAUAUGGAGGAACACCGGUGGCGAAGGCGACUUUCUGGUCUGAAACUGACACUGAGGUGCGAAAGCGUGGGGAGCAAACAGGAUUAGAUACCCUGGUAGUCCACGCCGUAAACGAUGACUACUUGGAGGUUGAUGCCUUGAGGAGUGGCUUGCGGAGCUAACGCGUUAAGUCGACCGCCUGGGGAGUACGGGCGCAAGGGUAAAACUCAAAUGAAUUGACGGGGGGCCCCACAAGCGGGGGAACAUGGGGGUUAAUUCCAAGCAACGCGAAAAACCUUACCUGGGCUUGACAUCCACCGAAUUCUCCAGAAAUGCCUUAGUGCCUUCCGGAACCAUGAGACAGGUGCUGCAUGGCUGUCGUCAGCUCGUGUUGUGAAAUGUUGGGUUAAGUCCCGCAACGAGCGCAACCCUUAUCCUUUGUUGCCAGCGAUUCGGUCGGGAACUCUAAGGAGACUGCCGGUGAUAAACCGGAGGAAGGUGGGGGAUGACGUCAAAUCAUCAUGGCCCUUACGACCUGGGCUACACACGUGCUACAAUGGACGCGUACAAAGAGAUGCGACCUCGCGAGAGGGAGCUGAUCUCAUAAAACGCGUCUCAGUUCGGAUCGGAGGCUGCAACUCGACUACGUGAAGUGGAAUCGCUAGUAAUCGCGGAUCAGCAUGCACGUGAUACGUCCCGGGCUGUACACACCGCCGUCCACCAUGGGAGUGGUUGCAAAGAAUAGUACUAACUUCGGGAGGAGCUACCAUGAUGUGGAUCAUGACUGGGGUGA